CCUACGGGAGGCAGCAGUGGGGAAUAUUGGACAAUGGGGGAAACCCUGAUCCAGCGACGCCGCGUGAGUGAAGAAGUAUUUCGGUACGUAAAGCUCUAUCAGCAGGAAAGAAAAUGACGGUACCUGACUAAGAAGCCCCGGCUAACUACUUGCCAGCAGCCGCGGUAAGACGUAGGGGGCAAGCGUUAUCCGGAUUUACUGGGUGUAAAGGGAGCGUAGACGGCAGCGCAAGUCUGGAGUGAAAUGCCUGGGCCCAACCCCGGAACUGCUCUGGAAACUGUGAAGCUGGAGUGCAGGAGAGGUAAGCGGAAUUCCUGGUGUAGCGGUGAAAUGCGUAGAUAUCAGGAGGAACACCGGCGGCGAAGGCGGCUUACUGGACUGUAACUGACGUUGAGGCUCGAAGGCGUGGGGAGCAAACAGGAUUAGAUACCCUGGUAGUC
This 440-nucleotide ribosomal RNA is filed under the name uncultured bacterium. Its description in RNAcentral is "partial 16S ribosomal RNA". It matches the Rfam family "Bacterial small subunit ribosomal RNA", at positions 338 to 795 of the family's 1533-position model. The record is from RNAcentral.